CAGCAGCCGCGGGAAUACGUAGGUGGCAAGCGUUGUCCGGAAUUAUUGGGCGUAAAGGGCUCGCAGGCGGUUUCUUAAGUCUGAUGUGAAAGCCCCCGGCUCAACCGGGGAGGGUCAUUGGAAACUGGGAAACUUGAGUGCAGAAGAGGAGAGUGGAAAUCCACGUGUAGCGGUGAAAUGCGUAGAGAUGUGGAGGAACACCAGUGGCGAAGGCGACUCUCUGGUCUGUAACUGACGCUGAGGAGCGAAAGCGUGGGGAGCGAACAGGAUUAGAUACCCCGGUAGUCCCUGUCUCUUAUAC
This 301-nucleotide ribosomal RNA is filed under the name uncultured bacterium. RNAcentral's name for it is "partial 16S ribosomal RNA". It matches the Rfam family "Bacterial small subunit ribosomal RNA", at positions 509 to 807 of the family's 1533-position model. The record is from RNAcentral.